CAGUUACUUUUUUGUGUGUCCUUCUUGUCCAAUUAGGACAGCAUACUGUCAGCAGUCAAGGCAAGAGCUCUUCUUACCAAGUGGCUUACUUUUGCUACAAAGAAAGCAAACUCCAUGUGGAGUUUCUUCAAUGCCCAUUAUCUUCUCUGAAGUAGAUUGGUGCUGCCAGGAGCAGACAUUUAACGUUGUCAUAAAAAGAGCCUAUUUAUUAAAACAUCUUGAAUGCCUUAUUCUGUAGAUCUCUAAAGAGUUUGAAGAUAACCUGUGUGUCUAAAAUAUAUCUUUGUUUGACCUUGAAAAUGAAGGAGCAGGACAAACUCCAUUUUGAGAAAGAACUUCAUUUUAGCUGCACUUGACCUAGGGCUGAUCCAGCUUCAGUGAAAAUCAAAAUAAUAUUUCUAAGAAAAACAGGCUGUGCCUGCCACGGUUAAAGUAACCCCACCCGGUGGCCAGUCAAUGGCUAGCAACAAUGCUUACUUAAGAUGUCCUUGUGGGCAUCUGAUAAUUGCUGUUUGGAAACUCCCCUAGACCCAGCCAAUGAAUUUGAAGGUUGCCUUCCCUCACCAAAUUUGUAUCCAAUCAUGUAACACCAAGGCUGUACCCUGCUUAAGACUUUUUCCCUUAAAAACUCCCUGCUUUAGAGGUUCAGGGUCAUUCUCCUCCACCUGUUGCAUCAGAGUGUUGAAUGAUGGUCCACAUUUAAGUUCAUAUUCAGUAAACCCCUCUUGUGUCCUUGCAUUGGAUACCGGCUCUGUGGUAGUCUUGUUUGGGGGAGUCUCUUGAUGCAGUGUGCCAAAUCUAUAACGUGGUCCAGUAACAGUCAGUGUCUGGGACAGUCAGUAAAGGCGUUGGAGGACCAGGACCAUGGGGGUCCAGGAGACAUUUCACACCCUGGAGACGGAUCUCUGCCUACCCCACUGGAAGGACAUGCAAACCACAGCUCAUAAUCAAGGGGUUGAAAUUCACAAGGGAAGGUUGGUUACCUUUUGCACCUCAGAAUGGCUCACUUUUGAUUUCAUCUGGCCCCCGGGAGGGGAGUUUUGAUGCCAGACCCAUUGGGCUGUGGAGAAAUUGUGUUUCAACCCAGAACUGGACAUCCUGAUUAGAUACCCUACAUCAUAACAUGGCGAAGUCUGGUAGAAGAACCUCCCUCUUGGGUUAAAACUUUUCUUCCCCAACAGGUUACAGUACUGGGGGCAGAGAAGAAACUCCCACUGACUGGGGGCCUUUCAGCCCAUCCAGCUCCAGUUUUUCAGGGUGGAAAUACUGAAGAAGAUACUUUCCCUCCCCCUCCUUAUACCCAUACCCCAGCUCCCAGGCCUGCACCAGCAGUGGCCCAAGGAGACCCCCUCCAGAGACCCCACCCAUGGGGAAGGCCCAACCAGGGGCACCAGAAGAUGGAGAGGAAGGACCCCUGAACUGGAUUCUACUGUUCUCUCUUUGAGGGCCACUGGGCCCUCAACUAAGAUAGGAAUCAACCCUUUUAUUACUGGGCCUUUGCCACCAGUGAUCUCUCCAAUUGGAAGUCUCAAAAUUCUCCUUUCUCUGAGAACUCCCAAGGCUUGAUGACUCUCCUCAAAACUGUUCCUUUCACCCACCAUCCCACUUAGGACAAUUGUGUUCUCCAUGGAGGAGUGGGACUGGGUCUAGGUGGGAGCCUGAAAAUUGGUUCUGGGCCCCACAGGGAGCCUACAGCCAACCAGACUCUCAGCGAUGGCCGCAUUCCCUCUAUCUCACCCCAAAUAGUAUUACAACACGGCUGAAGGUAAGAGGAGUCUCCUUGUCUAUCGUCAGACUCUACUGGUGGGUCUCAAAGUGGCCGUGGAUCAGCCCACAAAUUUGAGCAAGGUCUAUGGUGUUAGACAGGGACCAGAUGAAAGCCAAGCUGCAUUUUUGGAAAUGACUACAGGAGGCUUUCAAGAGACAGACACCACAAAAUCCAGAGUCACGGGAAGUGUGGUGGCCUUGGCGUGAGGCUUUGGUAACCAGGCAGCCCCAGGCCUUAGAAGGAAACUGCAGAAACUAGAGCACUUAGGAG
Molecule: non-coding RNA, 2038 nt
Organism: Myodes glareolus (Bank vole)
Lineage: Eukaryota; Metazoa; Chordata; Mammalia; Rodentia; Cricetidae
Source: RefSeq, a predicted model, not a curated record